Molecule: unclassified non-coding RNA, 177 nt
Filed under: uncultured Agaricomycetes
Lineage: Eukaryota; Fungi; Basidiomycota; Agaricomycetes
Description: sequence contains ITS2
Source: RNAcentral
UAAUAUAUCACCCCCCUUUGGUCAUCCAAAGGGGUCAGUGGACUUGGACUCUGCCGUGUUUGGCUCGUCCUGAAAUGCAUUGGCUGCCUCGAGCUUGCCUCCCUGGUGUGAUAGUCAUCUACGCCUUAGGAGCAGGUUUUUUAGGUGGCCUAACCGUCUUCGGACAGUACCAUGACC